Molecule: long non-coding RNA, 1175 nt
Filed under: Triticum aestivum (bread wheat)
Lineage: Eukaryota; Viridiplantae; Streptophyta; Magnoliopsida; Poales; Poaceae
Description: long non-coding RNA (TAES_LNC006902)
Source: RNAcentral
UUGUAACAGCUAGCUUCAUCCAUUUCCUUACAUCGUGGUCUUUAUAUAAACCCAAUCAUUUUACAAAUCAGAGAUUCUGCAUCAACUUGAAUUGCAAAUACGGUCUUACUGUAAUUGGGUGUGUGUUCGGCCUCCCGACCUAGCUAGUCCAAAUCACGCAAAAGGCUAUUUUACAUGUGCAAACUAAGGCUUCCUCACGUUUUUAUUCUCGUGCUUGUUCCAUUGUUCGUCCCUUUAAACGGAGGCCUGUAGGCGAGAAGAGAUAUCUUAACUAUAUUGCUCAUUCCUGUUCUCUUUCCUCCCAGCUGGCUCGUGUUCUUCGUUUUGUCUCCCGAGUAGCCCACGGAUAACAUCAAGCUACCAAGUAGUAGUAUGAACGAUAUUGGCGUGUUCAAACUUCAAACUAUAUACGGUCUUUACUGUGGUUAUUAGCUAUAGAAAGGAAAAUGAUAUUGUAUGAUGGUGGUAUUUUUGCCGAUUGUCUGUGGUUCUUCGCCAGCUACUUCUUCCUAUCCCGUUUCUGACCUGCAAUCAUAUAAGCAAAGACUGUAGUUCGAUAAGUAACUUGAACCAAUCUGUCAGUAGCUCAUAAUUUUUUGGUACCUAAUUAAAUCUCUGCACUAACAGUCCAACACCAUUCCUCUCAAGAAAAGGAAAUGCAUUGUUGCAGACUUGCAGUAAAUGUCCAAUGUAUAAAUUCUGUCUGCAACAUUGUAAACCACUCAAUUCAAUUUUUCCGCAAAAAAAAAAAAAAAACCACUCAAUUCAAUCUUGAGUCGGGAGAAACUGAUAAAAGACCUAUAUGCACGGACUUUUAGUUCUUGCUGAAGAAACAUGAGCUAUAUACACUUUCAUGCUGGAAAAAGCUUAUAACAUUGACACUUCCGAUGUUCAUAGGCUCUACGUACGUACGUAUUGUAUGUAUGUCUGCACUGCAUUAUUGAUAUGCACACGUACGCUUUUGCUGUUUGGUGGAGCAGCCGCAGACGAGCAGGGCGAUGCAGGCCACGAUGAUGUAGAGCUUCCCCUUCUGCUGCUGCGCCGCGCUCUGCACCUUCUGCAGCUUCUUCUUCCUCGGGUUCUCCUUCUCCGGCUUCUUCCCCAUGCCCAGCUAGCUGACGAGGCACGUGUCUAACACUACUUCCGUUUAGCUGCAAGUACCACGCAUCAUCCAU